This 495-nucleotide ribosomal RNA is filed under the name uncultured bacterium. RNAcentral's name for it is "partial 16S ribosomal RNA". It matches the Rfam family "Bacterial small subunit ribosomal RNA", at positions 28 to 507 of the family's 1533-position model. The record is from RNAcentral.
GACGAACGCUGGCGGCGUGCCUAAUACAUGCAAGUAGAACGCUGAAGGAGGAGCUUGCUUCUCCGGAUGAGUUGCGAACGGGUGAGUAACGCGUAGGUAACCUGCCUGGUAGCGGGGGAUAACUAUUGGAAACGAUAGCUAAUACCGCAUAAGAGUAGAUGUCGCAUGACAUUUGCUUAAAAGGUGCAACUGCACCACUACCAGAUGGACCUGCGUUGUAUUAGCUAGUUGGUGAGGUAACGGCUCACCAAGGCAACGAUACAUAGCCGACCUGAGAGGGUGAUCGGCCACACUGGGACUGAGACACGGCCCAGACUCCUACGGGAGGCAGCAGUAGGGAAUCUUCGGCAAUGGACGGAAGUCUGACCGAGCAACGCCGCGUGAGUGAAGAAGGUUUUCGGAUCGUAAAGCUCUGUUGUAAGGGAAGAACGAGUGUGAGAGUGGAAAGUUCACACUGUGACGGUAUCUUACCAGAAAGGGACGGCUAACUACGUG